Molecule: transfer RNA, 90 nt
Filed under: Cereibacter changlensis
Lineage: Bacteria; Pseudomonadati; Pseudomonadota; Alphaproteobacteria; Rhodobacterales; Paracoccaceae
Also listed under: 12 other names
Description: tRNA-Ser
Rfam family: tRNA
About the family: Transfer RNA (tRNA) molecules are approximately 80 nucleotides in length. Their secondary structure includes four short double-helical elements and three loops (D, anti-codon, and T loops). Further hydrogen bonds mediate the characteristic L-shaped molecular structure. tRNAs have two regions of fundamental functional importance: the anti-codon, which is responsible for specific mRNA codon recognition, and the 3' end, to which the tRNAs corresponding amino acid is attached (by aminoacyl-tRNA synthetases). tRNAs cope with the degeneracy of the genetic code in two manners: having more than one tRNA (with a specific anti-codon) for a particular amino acid; and 'wobble' base-pairing, i.e. permitting non-standard base-pairing at the 3rd anti-codon position.
Source: RNAcentral
GGAGAUGUGGCCGAGUGGUCGAAGGCACACCCCUGCUAAGGGUGCAGGCCCGGAAGGGUCUCGAGGGUUCGAAUCCCUUCGUCUCCGCCA